RNAcentral lists this ribosomal RNA (504 nucleotides) under uncultured bacterium. RNAcentral describes it as "bacterial SSU rRNA". It matches the Rfam family "Bacterial small subunit ribosomal RNA", at positions 29 to 523 of the family's 1533-position model. The record is from RNAcentral.
AUUGAACGCUGGCGGCAUGCUUUACACAUGCAAGUCGAGCGGCAGCGCGGGGGGCAACCCUGGCGGCGAGCGGCGAACGGGUGAGUAAUGCAUCGGAACGUAUCCUGUAGUGGGGAAUAACUCACCGAAAGGUGAGCUAAUACCGCAUAAGCUCUGAGGAGGAAAGCGGGGGACCGAAAGGCCUCGCGCUGCAGGAGCGGCCGAUGUCCGAUUAGCUAGUUGGUGAGGUAAAGGCUCACCAAGGCGACGAUCGGUAGCUGGUCUGAGAGGAUGAUCAGCCACACUGGGACUGAGACACGGCCCAGACUCCUACGGGAGGCAGCAGUGGGGAAUUUUGGACAAUGGGGGAAACCCUGAUCCAGCCAUGCCGCGUGAGUGAAGAAGGCCUUCGGGUUGUAAAGCUCUUUCGGUACGGAACGAAAUUAGCUUGGACUAAUACUCUGAGUAGAUGACGGUACCGUAAGAAGAAGACACCGGCUAACUACGUGCCAGCAGCCGCGGUAC